UGUAAAAAUCAAAUCAAAACCCUAAAGCCUUAACAUUCAGACCUCCAUUUUAAGCCGUAAAAAAAAAAGAAAAAAAAACUAAGCCCUCUUGCCCUCCUCUGCCGCAGUUCCACCAUGAACGGUGGUUGGAGCCUCACCACCAAGGGCUUCUCAGCUCCUUUUCGCGUGGAUCCAAGAGCGUUCAGGUGUCGUACGAAGACGUGGCAUGGCUCGGCACGGCGCAUGGACAGAGGCUCGUGUGUGAGGAGCGGCUUGGCUGCAACGCAAGAGCAGAAAGCUAUUGAAGGCUAGGGUUAGGUGAUUGGGUUGAUUGGGCCAUUGGGUGUUUAGGCUAGUUGGGCUUAAUGGGCUGGGGACAUGUAUUUGGGUUUGGUUUGUAUUUUGUUUGUAAUUUGGACUGUGGAUUUUUGUUCACUUUGGGCUUCAGGCAAAAUUUGGGCCCUACAUUAGGUGUUAGCGAAUUAAUGUUAUGUACAACCAAAUGAUCUUGUAUAAGAAUCUUAUAGUUUGAUAAGUGAAAUAAGUGUUAAAUGUUGA
Long non-coding RNA from Gossypium raimondii (Peruvian cotton), 537 nucleotides. RefSeq lists it as uncharacterized. Lineage: Eukaryota; Viridiplantae; Streptophyta; Magnoliopsida; Malvales; Malvaceae. The transcript is spliced from 2 exons. The record is from RefSeq and is a predicted model, not a curated record.